Molecule: ribosomal RNA, 497 nt
Filed under: uncultured bacterium
Lineage: Bacteria
Description: partial 16S ribosomal RNA
Rfam family: Bacterial small subunit ribosomal RNA
Source: RNAcentral
GAUGAACGCUGGCGGCGUGCCUAAUACAUGCAAGUCGAGCGAACAGACGAGGAGCUUGCUCCUUUGACGUUAGCGGCGGACGGGUGAGUAACACGUGGGUAACCUACCUAUAAGACUGGGAUAACUUCGGGAAACCGGAGCUAAUACCGGAUAAUAUUUCGAACCGCAUGGUUCGAUAGUGAAAGAUGGCUCUGCUAUCACUUAUAGAUGGACCUGCGCCGUAUUAGCUAGUUGGUAAGGUAGCGGCUUACCAAGGCAACGAUACGUAGCCGACCUGAGAGGGUGAUCGGCCACACUGGAACUGAGACACGGUCCAGACUCCUACGGGAGGCAGCAGUAGGGAAUCUUCCGCAAUGGGCGAAAGCCUGACGGAGCAACGCCGCGUGAGUGAUGAAGGUCUUCGGAUCGUAAAACUCUGUUAUUAGGGAAGAACAAACGUGUAAGUAACUGUGCACGUCUUGACGGUACCUAAUCAGAAAGCCACGGCUAACUACGUG